GAAUGGCGAAAGAGGGAAGUAGGCCCAGUGGCGUAACGAGCCAACACCGGGCCCUAAAGCAGGAUUAUCAAGGCGGGCCCCCAUACUACAGCACAUGAUGACGGCGCAAUGUCCACGAUUAGGCUACCAUAAAUAGGACAGGAUAGGAUCAGAGUGACACAGCAUAUGAGAUGAGAUGACUGACAAAAUCAGGAGUAGCCUACGCGCACCACAACAACAA
Long non-coding RNA from Etheostoma spectabile (orangethroat darter), 220 nucleotides. RefSeq lists it as uncharacterized. NCBI's taxonomy places the organism in Eukaryota, Metazoa, Chordata, Actinopteri, Perciformes, Percidae. The record is from RefSeq and is a predicted model, not a curated record. The transcript is spliced from 3 exons.